GACGAACGCUGGCGGCGUGCUUAACACAUGCAAGUCGAACGAAAAGAGGGAAAGAGCUUGCUCUUUCCGGAAUUGAGUGGCAAACGGGUGAGUAACACGUAAACAACCUGCCUUCAGGAUGGGGACAACAGACGGAAACGACUGCUAAUACCGAAUAAGUUCCAAGAGCCGCAUGGCCCAUGGAGGAAAAGGUGGCCUCUACCUGUAAGCUAUCGCCUGAAGAGGGGUUUGCGUCUGAUUAGCUGGUUGGAGGGGUAACGGCCCACCAAGGCGACGAUCAGUAGCCGGUCUGAGAGGAUGAACGGCCACACUGGAACUGAGACACGGUCCAGACUCCUACGGGAGGCAGCAGUGGGGAAUCUUCCGCAAUGGGCGAAAGCCUGACGGAGCAACGCCGCGUGAGUGAUGACGGCCUUCGGGUUGUAAAACUCUGUGAUCCGGGACGAAAAGGCAGAGUGCGAAGAACAAACUGCAUUGACGGUACCGGAAAAGCAAGCCACGGCUAACUACGUG
Molecule: ribosomal RNA, 513 nt
Filed under: uncultured bacterium
Lineage: Bacteria
Description: partial 16S ribosomal RNA
Rfam family: Bacterial small subunit ribosomal RNA
Source: RNAcentral